UUAAGUGAUGAUAGCCUAGGGGAGACACCUGUAUCCAUGCCGAACACAGCAGUUAAGCCCUAGCACGCCUGAAGUAGUUGGGGGU
Molecule: ribosomal RNA, 85 nt
Filed under: Streptococcus mutans
Lineage: Bacteria; Bacillati; Bacillota; Bacilli; Lactobacillales; Streptococcaceae
Source: RNAcentral